UUCUAACUCUAAAUAAUUUCCCCGCCACACCUCUCUUUUUCCCCUUCCCUCUUUCUUUCCUUUUUCCCUCUUUUCUCUUCCUCCGUGUGUGACUUCUUCCAGUCGAACCCUCAGCCAUCUUCUUCCUAACUCGUUUUCCCUAAAUUAAAUAAUUUCUCCAUUUUCUCUCCCAUUCUCAGACCCAAUUUUGUAUCCCAAUCUCAUACCCAAUUUUGUAUCCCAAUCCCAUACCCAUUUCUCAAUCUUUCUCCCUUUAUCCUUUUCUCAGUUUCUCUCUAUUUCUUUAUCCCCUUUUUUUUACUGCUGCCGUGCGCCAUUUCCGAGCAGAAGACAACCCAUUUCUGCUCUACCAGAUCAGGCCGCCUCUAUCAGGUAUAUACCCACUGUUCUCUUCUAAAGUAUAUAUUUAUAUAUAUAUAUAUAUAGAUACAUAUAUGUGUGUGCUUUCUUUUUCCCUUGAUAUAGUUGUUGUCACUCUCGUUCUCUCCCAUUGAUUUCACUCUUCGACCAGAACAGGUACGGUGGUUUUUUUUUAUAUAUAAUAUGUAUUAGCUUUUUUUGUUUGCAUUUAUAAUGUACAGAAUAUAUAAGAGUAAAAGUUAGAAAUUAAUAGUGGUUAAAAAAUUUAGCUAGGAGUGAAUUGUUUUAGGGGUUAAUAAAAUAUUUAGGUCUGUUUCUAUUUAUAUAUAGCUAAUGAUUUGAAAUAUUUGGCUGACAUUAAAAAGAAUACAAGAGAAUACACGUUGAAGACUUUAGAUUCUUGGCACUCUGUUGUUCAACUUGAUUAAAUGGUAAGUUUUUUUUUUUUUUUUCCACUGUACGUUGUGGAACUAUUUAGUUCUUGUGUCUCAGGUGCAUUAACGUAUUCCUCUUGAAGGUUCCUUACAUUGGAGCAGCUUGGACAGAUGCAAAACUUGGUGUAGAAACGCAAAGGGUCAUUUUUUGCUAAGUUUUGCAUUGAUAGGAUAUUUCUUGCUAUUUCCUGCUAACAAGAUGCAAGAAACAUUGUAUAUUAUGCUGCAAUACAUAGAUAUAAAUAGUCUUAAAGUAGUCAUAUACACAUUAAAAACAGGGGAGCAUUAGUUUGAUACAAGAACAACAGUUACAAUUGAAGAAUGGUUUCUCUUUACUACCUAUUGUGUAUAUAUAGAAUUUCAAUCCAAACAGAUUAUUUAGUUACAACGUAGAAAGAUUUUAUAUAUUGUUCAUGAAAAAAUUGUUUAUUAGUAGUUUCUCAUAUUUUGUUUAUUUUCUAUCUAGUUUAAUUCAUACUUUAUUUAACAUGCAUGUUUAUGCAGAAUGAUUUUGAUAAUUAUACUACACUACUUGACUAAGUUUUUUUAUUUGUAUUAUUCUCUUGUCUUAAUUUAAUGAGAUUUUAACCUUUUUGUGUUUCUUUCUUUGUCAUCAGUUUUCUUUGCAGUGUUUGAAAAAGUGAUUGAUUUGCUGACUUGCAAUUGAUUGGAGUAUAGGUUCAUCUUGAUAUCUUAACUUCUGGGUUUUUUAUUCUUGAUGUGGUUCUUUCACUCUUGUCUUGUUGCUAGAUCUAUAAAACUUCAUCUUGAGUUAAAGAUUUUCUGGCUCUCAUUUAGAUUGCAAAUUCUCUUAUAUAAAUGUAUAUAAUUGUUGAGUUUUGCGGUUCCUUCUUGAAUUUAUUUGUUCUAAUUUUUAAGGCAAUUGUUUUAGGAAUUAAAUCCCUCAUAAUUCAAAUGAAUAUGUUACUAAAACUUGUUUAAAUUUUGACUUAAAGAAAAUCUUUGUUCAACUUUAUCUGUGUUUUUUCUUGGUAAGAUUUAUUCUCUUCUUGUAUUCAUUCACUAUUAUUAUUCAUUUCUUGGGCAGCGCAAAGAAGAGUUGAAGAAAACUUGAUUUGAGAUAUGGUUGGGCACUUAUUGGACAUGUGAUUGAAAUAUGGAAUAUUAUUUAUAUUUAUUAUCACUCUAGCUACAACAUAUAUAAUAUAUAGAUAGUUGGUGGUGACUCUUCUACAUGCACAUAAAUAUUAUAAAGAUUGUAGGUAUAAAUAUAUGUAUAUAUAUAUAUUUAUAUUAGUUUUUUUGUCAAAAUGUAAUACUUCUUUGCAUUUUGAAAAUAGCAUAAACUAAGUUAUGAUGUAGUUUUCUAUGUAUUUUAGGUGGACAAGCUAAGCAUUUGACUCAACCCAAGGCUGAGAAGAAAGAAGACAGACUUCAAAGAAACUAUUUUGCAACAGUUUGCAAGAGGCUAAAACUCUACUUGGAUAUUUAAGAGAACCAAGACAAUUAUAUAAGAGAACCAAUGCAACACGAAAUUCUUCUUCAAGUUGUUGGGUAUUAUUUUCUUUCUUGCUUGUAAGAAUUAUGUAUAGUGAUGAUUUGAUGUAUUAUUUACAUUGAGAAUAAUGAAUUUUUAUUGAAAAUUAUAAUGAAUUUUCAUUGAGACUUAUUUAGUCUCAUGGAGAUUUGAUAUAUUAUUUACAUUUCAAUUGUAUGAAUAAAUGUUGUA
Molecule: long non-coding RNA, 2484 nt
Organism: Humulus lupulus (European hop)
Lineage: Eukaryota; Viridiplantae; Streptophyta; Magnoliopsida; Rosales; Cannabaceae
Exons: 3
Source: RefSeq, a predicted model, not a curated record